GGCUCAGAUCCAGCGUUGCUGUGGCUGUGGCAUAGUGUGGCAAAUGAUGCUCUGAUUUGACCCCACACUGGGAACUUCCACAUGCUGCCAGUAUGGCCCUAAAAAAUAAAUAAAUAAUACCGUUUUAGCCAUUUUUAAGUUGCAUGUCUGUUGCAUUCAGCAUAUUCACAUUGUUGUACCACCAUGACCACCAUCCAUCUUUAGAAUUUUUCAUCUUCCCAAGCUGAAACUCUAUACCCAUUAACCACUAACUCCCAAUUCCUUCCUCCCCCAGCCCCUGGCAACCACCCUUCCACCUUCUGUCUCUAUGAACUUGACUCUAUUCUAGGAACCUCAUGUACGUAGAAUCAUAUAUUAUGUCUCCUUUUCAUAUGGAAGUUCCCAGGCUAGGGGUCAAACCCGAGCUGCAGCUGCCAACAUACACCACAGCCACAACAAUGCCAGAUCUGAGCCACAUCUGUGACUGGAACGCUGUGUCCCAUUCUGGUCACUGAACUAAGUGGAGCUGCAAGAAAAGUCCGAGACACCUGUAUAUACCUGCUACCUAGACAGAGGAGGGAGGGAUCAAGGCACCUGGCUGCCUCGGAUGGAGCAGAGAGCCUCCGAGGCCUUGCUCUGAAUUUACGGCAAAAAGAAAGACACUGGCUGGAUUCCCCUGAAGCAGAUUCAGAGACAGGCUGUGAAUGCCAGCCGUCUGUUUGGGAGGUGAUCACAGGAAGCUCAGGGAGGGGUGGAGAGGUGACACAGGGCUUCCUGGAGACUGUGUAGUGAGUGUCUGAGUUAUCCCUCCAAGGUGGGGAGGGGGGAGCUGGGGUCUCUGUGCACGGAGCCCCCUCCUGCUGUGAGCUCAUCCACCCACCAAGCAUCCGCAGCCUUGGGCAGCGGCUUCCAAGUGCUGGCAGUAGAGCCUAAGGGAGCAGUGACCCCAGGUGGACAGGCAGGACACCAUCUACACCUGUUCCGUGUGCCUUGUCUGAAACUUUGAGCCCGGGCUGCCUCGGCAGAUGUCUGCACCAAAGCCCCAACUCCUGAUGAGGAACAAAGCCUUUGCGAUUUUGGUGAGUUUCAUAGCCUCAAUGAUUCAUGCCCUCUGCAAUAUUAAUCACUUUCACAAGACCGAAAAUGAGCAAACUUUACAUUUUCUCAAAAUCCAAAUUCCCUUUUCAAAAUCCCUCUGCUUUCUUCCUUCCCUAAAUGAAAUAUGUGUGCUCUGAGGAUGUUGGCAUGCUCAACUUACAGAAAAGGGGAUUUUAAUGAAUGAUUUUAAAACUUUCAUCGUAAUUUGCAAGUUGUAAGAUUCAUGCCUCCUCUCCCUUUCCUUUCCCUUUGCCUCCUUACUCCUUAUUCAUUUCUCUUUUUUAAAAAAAAUUAAAAUAGAAAUUCCAGGAGUGCCCUGGUGGCUCAGCAGGUUGAAGAUCUGGCAUUUUCACUGCUGUGGUGCCAGUUGGACCCCUGGCCUGGGAACUUCCGUAUGCCACGGGCAUGGCCAAAAGUACAGAAUAGAAAUAGAAGAGAAUAGAAAAUAGAAUGGAAUAGAAUAAAUAAAAUCCAAAUAAGACAAUUACUAUCCCAAGGGGCCAAGUCAGCAUUUUCUUAAGUUUCUAUAGAACACCGCUCCCUGGAAAGCGUCCUCAACAGGGUGUUAAGGUCAGGCGUCGGGGGCUGUAGCUUGGGUUGCUCCUCUGGCACAGGUUCGAUUCCUGGCCCAGGAACAUCCGAAUGCUUUGAGUCCCCCCCCACCCCCCCACCCCCACUGCCCCAAAACCCAUUAAGAUCAGACGGGCUGUGAAAUCCCAUGUACUCCAUUCUUUUCUUGGAGCCCUGCAUUCACACCAGCAUGCUAAAGGGUUCUGAGGAAUCCGGGUGACAUUGUUUAGACACAUAUUUAGUUAGUUUCAGUGGAUGUUUCCAGUGUUAUUGGAGCAGGAACCCUUAUUAUUAUUAUUUUUUUUAAUCUCCAUGCCCUCAGCAUGUGGAAGUUCCCAGGCCAGGAACUGAACCUGAGCUACCACAGCAACCUGAGCCACUGCAGUGACAGUGUCAGAUCCUUAACCCACUGCGCUAUGAGAGAACUUCUUUAACCUUUAAAGCAUCCCGGUCACUCCCCAGACUGCUAGUAUUGGGUGAAAACCAUUUGAGGAAAUGCUCCUCAAAACACAUACCCCAGCUCUCUCGGUACAUCUGAAAUGAAGAGGUGUUGGGAUAGACUGGUGGGAGUCAGUGGGCGAAGGAAAAUUGUAGCUCAGAGUUUGCACUGUUUGUUGUAACU
RNAcentral lists this long non-coding RNA (2269 nucleotides) under Sus scrofa (pig). RNAcentral's name for it is "lncRNA (ENSSSCG00065006655.1)". Lineage: Eukaryota; Metazoa; Chordata; Mammalia; Artiodactyla; Suidae. The record is from RNAcentral.